This 734-nucleotide long non-coding RNA is filed under the name Brassica napus (rape). RNAcentral describes it as "long non-coding RNA (BNAP_LNC026312)". Lineage: Eukaryota; Viridiplantae; Streptophyta; Magnoliopsida; Brassicales; Brassicaceae. The record is from RNAcentral.
AACUAGUACCGUUUUACAAAAGGAAAGGCAAAAGUACUUCCGGUGCUCCUAACGUCCAGCUUCCACGCUACCCGGUCUCCCACUAAGGUUUCCAGCAACGAUAGGUGAGUUUAAUGAGUAACCUAAUGUCACUCAGUGAGCCAGGGCCCCAACUAACAAACACAAACCCUCGCCAUACCAACCCCAAACAAUCUAAGAUGAGGAGUUCACCUAACAAUAACACAACAAUAAUAAUCAUCACUCGAGACUUCCCUCGUGGAAACCCGAGUGAGUCAGCAAGAACAUAAACAUAAAUAAGAUAAGCAGCGGAAUAUAAUCCACCAUUAGCAUAAUGAUUUAAUAUAUGCUAAAACUCUCGACACCUUAACUACACAUCCUCACUCGAGCUUUCUCAUCAUACACAACCAUGGAACACCUAACUCACAGCCACAAAGGCACACGGGUUAGAACAUCCAACAUAACUGACAUGUAACCCCGAUAAGGUAUCACAUGACAGAGCAUGCUUUCUAGCAACCUUUCCGUACAGAGCAUGCUUUAUGCAACCUCUCUGCCCAGCCGCGUGGGGACAUACUCUAGCAACCUUCCUUUCCGCAAACUAACCUGAAGCACCCACCAAGGAUACCACAUGACGGAGCAUGCUUUCCAGCAACCUCCCCGUACAGAGCAUGCUUUAUGCAACCUCUCUGCCAAGCCGCGUAGGGACAUGCUUACGUAACCUUCCUUGCCGCGUAACA